ACUACGUGCCAGCUAGCCAGGAUGAGUACAUAGCGGUGCUAGCAUCACUCGGACCUACUGGGGCGUCAUAGCGUGCGCAGGUAAGGUCAGGUAAGAUCACGACGUGGAGAUCCACCCGGGCUCAAUCCUGGUGCAGAAGCUUCUGCGGACUGGACAGCCUGAGGAGUGAUGAGCAGAGAGGUGCGCUAGUAGUUAGCACGUUGUAGCAGUGAAUUUGUGUAGAGAUCAUGGAGGAAUGACCGACGGCGAAAGGCAUCUCCUUGUGACAAUGACUGCACGCUAAUGCAGGAGAGCGAUGGGGGAGCAAACUAGGAUUAGAUAUCCUAGGUAGUACACGCUCGUACAACGAUGUCAUCUAGUUGUUGGGGAUUCAUUUCAUUAGUAAGCGUAGAUAACGCGUGAAGUUGGCCGCCUGGGGAGUACGGUCGCAAGAUUAGAACUCAAAGGAAUUGACGCGGACCCGCACACGCGGUGGAUGAUGUGGAUUAAUUCGAUGCACCGCGAAAAACCUUACAUACCCUUGACAUGGCAGGAACUCCGCAGAGAUGCGGAGGUGCCCGAAAGGGAGCCUGCGCACAGGUGCUGCAUGGCAGUCGUCAGCUCGUGUCGUGAGAUGUUGGGUUAAGUCCCGCAACGAGCGCAACCCUUGUCACUAGUUGGUAAGAAAGGGCACUCUAGUGAGACCGCCGGUGACAAACCGGAGGAAGGUGGGGAUGACGUCAAGUCCUCAUGGCCCUUAUGGGUAGGGCUUCACACGUCAUACAAUGGUCGGUACAGAGGGUUGCCAACCCGCGAGGGGGAGCCAAUCCCUGAAACCCGAUCGUAGUCCGGAUUGCAGUUUGCAUUUGGAUUGCAUGAAGUCGGAAUCGUUAGUAAUCGCGAUUCACACAUGUCGCGGUGAAUACGUUCCCGGGUCUUGUACACACCGCCCGUCACAUCCACUGGAUAGUGGGUUGCACCAGAAGCCGUCUGUCGCUAACCGCAAGGAAGGCGGCG
RNAcentral lists this ribosomal RNA (996 nucleotides) under uncultured beta proteobacterium. RNAcentral's name for it is "bacterial SSU rRNA". It matches the Rfam family "Bacterial small subunit ribosomal RNA", at positions 500 to 1455 of the family's 1533-position model. Lineage: Bacteria; Pseudomonadati; Pseudomonadota; Betaproteobacteria. The record is from RNAcentral.